CUGGGAUUACAGGUGUAAGCCACUACGGCUGGCCUAUUAUUGCUGUAUUCUAACUUAUUCAUCUCCUAUGUGUCAGAGAUGGCUUUGGAUUCCCCGUUCUGUGUGCUGCUGUCUGGCUCCUGAACCCAGCUGUAGAGGUGUGUCAAUCCCAACUGGUGAAGUACUGAGAGGAAGCUACACAAAAGGCAGCAAAGUAUUAGUGAGUGGUGUCA
This 212-nucleotide long non-coding RNA is filed under the name Homo sapiens (human). Its description in RNAcentral is "non-protein coding lnc-AGAP5-1:12". The record is from RNAcentral. Lineage: Eukaryota; Metazoa; Chordata; Mammalia; Primates; Hominidae.